This 277-nucleotide ribosomal RNA is filed under the name Salmonella enterica subsp. enterica serovar Derby. It matches the Rfam family "Bacterial small subunit ribosomal RNA", at positions 356 to 625 of the family's 1533-position model. The record is from RNAcentral. Lineage: Bacteria; Pseudomonadati; Pseudomonadota; Gammaproteobacteria; Enterobacterales; Enterobacteriaceae.
GGGGAAUAUUGCACAAUGGGCGCAAGCCUGAUGCAGCCAUGCCGCGUGUAUGAAGAAGGCCUUCGGGUUGUAAAGUACUUUCAGCGGGGAGGAAGGUGUUGUGGUUAAUAACCGCAGCAAUUGACGUUACCCGCAGAAGAAGCACCGGCUAACUCCGUGCCAGCAGCCGCGGUAAUACGGAGGGUGCAAGCGUUAAUCGGAAUUACUGGGCGUAAAGCGCACGCAGGCGGUCUGUCAAGUCGGAUGUGAAAUCCCCGGGCUCAACCUGGGAACUGCA